AGAGUUUGAUCAUGGCUCAGGAUGAACGCUAGCUACAGGCUUAACACAUGCAAGGUCGAGGGGAAACGAUAUUGGAAGCUUUGCUUCCGAUAGGCGUCGACCGGCGUACGGGUGAGUAACGCGUAUCCAACCUGCCCACCACUUGGGGAUAACCUUGCGAAAGUAAGACUAAUACCCAAUGACGUCUCUAGAAGAACAUCUGAAAGAGAUUAAAGAUUUAUCGGUGAUGGAUGGGGAUGCGUCUGAUUAGCUUGUUGGCGGGGUAACGGCCCACCAAGGCGACGAUCAGUAGGGGUUCUGAGAGGAACGGCCCCCACAUUGGAACUGAGACACGGUCCAAACUCCUACGGGAGGCAGCA
RNAcentral lists this ribosomal RNA (359 nucleotides) under uncultured bacterium. RNAcentral's name for it is "bacterial SSU rRNA". It matches the Rfam family "Bacterial small subunit ribosomal RNA", at positions 8 to 353 of the family's 1533-position model. The record is from RNAcentral.